RNAcentral lists this ribosomal RNA (425 nucleotides) under uncultured Clostridiaceae bacterium. Its description in RNAcentral is "bacterial SSU rRNA". It matches the Rfam family "Bacterial small subunit ribosomal RNA", at positions 354 to 796 of the family's 1533-position model. Lineage: Bacteria; Bacillati; Bacillota; Clostridia; Eubacteriales; Clostridiaceae. The record is from RNAcentral.
GUGGGGAAUAUUGCACAAUGGGGGAAACCCUGAUGCAGCAACGCCGCGUGAGUGAUGAAGGUUUUCGGAUCGUAAAGCUCUGUCUUCAGGGACGAUAAUGACGGUACCUGAGGAGGAAGCCACGGCUAACUACGUGCCAGCAGCCGCGGUAAUACGUAGGUGGCGAGCGUUGUCCGGAUUUACUGGGCGUAAAGGGAGCGUAGGCGGAUUUUUAAGUGAGAUGUGAAAUACCCGGGCUCAACUUGGGUGCUGCAUUUCAAACUGGAAGUCUAGAGUGCAGGAGAGGAGAGUGGAAUUCCUAGUGUAGCGGUGAAAUGCGUAGAGAUUAGGAAGAACACCAGUGGCGAAGGCGACUCUCUGGACUGUAACUGACGCUGAGGCUCGAAAGCGUGGGGAGCAAACAGGAUUAGAUACCCGAGUAGUCC